This 253-nucleotide ribosomal RNA is filed under the name uncultured bacterium. RNAcentral's name for it is "partial 16S ribosomal RNA". It matches the Rfam family "Bacterial small subunit ribosomal RNA", at positions 524 to 776 of the family's 1533-position model. The record is from RNAcentral.
UACGGAGGGUGCAAGCGUUGCUCGGAAUUAUUGGGCGUAAAGGGUAGGUAGGUGGUCUUAUUUGUCUAGGGUGAAAGCCUCGGGCUCAACCCGAGAAGUGCCUUAGAAACGGUAAGACUAGAGUCCUGGAGAGGGUCGUGGAAUUCCCGGUGUAGCGGUGAAAUGCGUAGAGAUCGGGAGGAACACCAGAGGCGAAGGCGGCGACCUGGACAGGAACUGACACUAAACUACGAAAGCGUGGGGAGCAAACAGG